ACUAACUAAACUACUAGGUGCACCUAUCAUUCGAGGACGAAUGAUCAUAAGAGGGGGAGGAUGUAACACCCCGUAUUCUACGUGUACUAGUCUUAUUUAUUUAAUGCUUAUUAACUUCCUUGUGGUAUAGUUAUGUAUUCGGUUUCAUAGGCAACUAGUGCCAAUAGAAUAGGUUUAAAGUGAACUGUCCAUAGAUUUUGAUGCAAGCCAAGUGAGUUGAUGUCGAUGGAGUUAUUUAAACUUGUGCAAGGUGGUAUUUGAGUCUAAAGUAUAAAGUGACGUAAUGUAUAUAAGUUCCAACUUAUGCUAAAGUUAUGAAGGUAUAGAAAUUGAAUAAAAUAUUGAGGUGCUUGCUUGACUUCACUAAGCUAGUAGGUGACAAGUAGGUGCAUCACCUACUUUGACUUAUUGACCAGACCAAGAUAGGUGCAUUACCUACUAAGACUCUUUUGACUGUGUUAUUGGGCCAAGUACACUACACCUAUCUGCACUAAUUUAGCCAUAGUUGAAUAGAAGAAUAUGGAGAAAAUGGACAUCCAAGGCCCAAUAUUCCCAAGCCCACAAGAAAUAAAUUAAUGGAAAACUAGGUGCAUCACCUACUUAAAUGUGUGGCCCAAAUUAUAGACACUUGUUGGCUGCAAAUGAAGUACAUGAAAGGUGGCAAAAGGGCCAAUGUUCUUAAGUCCAAAAAGUCCAAAUGAAAAGUCUAAGUAGGUGGGUCACCUACUUGACAAAUUAUGGCCCAAAAUGAGUGAGAAAGCCGGCCAAAGCAGGUCCCUUUAAAAGAGAUUGAUAUCACCUUUUUCCAACCAUUUUUACUUUGACAAAGAAAUCUAAUUUCUGGAGAUUUCUCUCUUCUCUCUCUUAGAUUCAUACAUCAGCCAUUAAAUUCCAUUAGGGUUCUUGAAUAAUAGGCUUUUCAAGCUAUUAGAAGGUAUAAUUUAAGACAAGUUAAGGAGGAUAAUACCUUGAAGAAUUCAAGUCUUAGCAAGUGGUAGUUAUGUCCAGCAAGGGAGUUUUGGGGAGGACCUGAUACGAAGGUUGUACAGUAUAUAGAUGCAAUUAAAGUUUAUUGUAGAUUAGUGAUUUUAAGAGAAGGAGCUUAAGUCAUACAUUUUGAAUUGUAUAGCAAGGUAUGUAAGGUUAUUCGAUUUCCUAUUUCUUUGGCAUGAAUCCAAAACAUGCAUUACAAAAAGUAAGCUUUCUAAGUGCCCUUGGUAGUGACUGAUCCAUAGUUGCAGUUCCUACUCCCUAGAGCAUUGAAGUGCGAACUCUAAUAUGAGUUUGUUACUAAAUGUUCGUGUUAACUCUACCAAGUGUUAGCAUGCAGUAUAUAAACUUGUGUCAUUAUCAAAGUACCCCUAGCACGUAUUUCCAUUAUAUAAGCUAAAGUGAUCCUAGAUUACACAUGGUACAUAUGUUUAUAGGAUGGAUAUAUGAUCUAUCCAUAUCUUGCCAACUUGCUUCAAUCGUUUAUAGAUAUGUCAUCUUGUCACACAUUCAUAUGUUCCCUUUCUUGUUAUUACUCCCAUUGUGUUAGACAAUAAUAUUACCUCACAUGAUCAUUACUUGCUCAAUUGUACGUUUAUAUGUACUUACUUGGAAUAUGUAUCUGUCCUUAAGUUGAAUCUGCCCUAUUUCCCCCUUGGUUCCACAUGCAUGAGCAUCUUGUAUUUGUAUCAUAUAGAGUUCAAAUCUCUUGGCUGAAUGUUAAAUUUUUUCACUGGAUGUGCUUCAAUUUGUGAUGUCAAAAUGCUUAUCGAGUCAUAUAAGCUCUUAAGUACUAUGUUCAAGUCAAAUUUGCUUCCCAUGUCAUUGUUAUUAUCGUAAGUCCAUAUUUAUAUGUCUUCUACUACUGGUUUGUAGUUCCAAAUCGAAAUAAGGAUUAUGACCACCAAAAUAGUACAUUUUUUCGUAGUGACAUCCCUUAUUGGGGACGCUGCAUUUCAUGCUACAGGUAUAAGUACUCAACUGGUAGAUUUUCCUAAUAUAAGCACAUUAUACUCAGUAGAUAUUGGUGAGCUUCAGGUUGAUUCGGGGCUUUUCCGAGUCUUUACUAUGCGUAUUUUCGUAGUGGUACCAUCAUGGAUUCCAGUAGAAGCUUUGUAGACAUUGUAAGGUUAUCAUCUGUAUUCAUAGUUUCACUUGUCACAUAUAGAGGUUCAUCUAGUCAAAAUGUGUUAUAUAUGAAGCUUCAUCAGUAAUCUGCAUAGUAGUUUAUUUUCUCAUCAUAGACUACUUGUAAAGCAUGUGUUCGUAAGGUACUUGACCGCCUCACCUAAGUUUGGGGGCUGACAUUACUCUUGGUGGAAAGCAAUGAUGGAAACUUUUAUUCAGGCUAAGGAUUAUGAACUUUGGAAUAUAGUUAUUGAUGGACCAGAAUACCCAACUUAAAAGGAUGCUAAAAAUAAUAACAUACAAAAGGAAAAGAGUGAAUACGAUGAGGGUGACUAUAAGAUUCUUGAAAAGAAUGCAAAAACUAAGUUUAUUCUUAUUUGUGGCAUUGUACCAGAUGAGUAUCUUCAAAUAUCUAGUUGCAUAAUUGCAAAACAAAUUUGGGAUACUAUAGGAUCAGAACAUCUUAUGAAAAGGUAGAUGAGAUUGCUCUCAUGGCUAUUGGAGAUUCACACGUGGAAGAAGAAGAAGAAAACUCUGAGGGUAGUAUCAUUGAUCUUAAGAAAAAUUUCAUCUAUUUUCAAAACAUAAAUUAAUUGAAUUGUUGAAUGGGUUAAUUGAUGAAUUUGAAGAAUUAACAUGUGAAAGAGAUUAGUUGUUUAAUGCCUUUACAGACCAAAAAUUUGAGUACAUGGAUCUCAAAGAUGACAAAACUGUAACUUGUAAAAAAAAUUAUUGUCUGAAGAAACAUAUUGAAAAACUUGAGUCAUCUAACCUAGAUCUAAAGUCGGAAAUUUUUAGGAUGACAGUUAUUGAAAAAGGAAAAGAAAAAUGAGUGGAAUUGAAGAAAAGCUGGAAAAAGAGUUGAAAAAAUGCACAAGUGACUAUUUUUUUAAAAAAAGAAAUGGUGAGGAAAUUAAACAUUGAAAUCUCUCAAAUAAAAGUUAAUCUUUAGAAGACAAAUAGAUGGACUCACUCAUCUAGAUUUGUUAACAAAUUGAGUGAUAGGGUGCACAAUGAGAAGGCUGGCAUAGGAUUCCAUAAAGAAAAUAUUAUCUCUGAAGAUUUAUGUUAUAUAUGUAGAAAAAUUGGUCAUUCAACUACUGAGUGUCCAGUUGCUAAUGAUUUUAGAAAAAGAAAUACUAAGUUUGCAAAUGGAAACAAAUUUAUGUCUGUUGGCAAAAACAGGUCCACUAACCUGGUUCUUAGAUGGACGAGAAGAAAUAUGAUUCACCCUUUUGAUCAUAAAAAAGGACCCAAGCUUGUCUGUGUUCCUAAGACUAACCUCUAAGCUAUUUUGCAAGUGAAGCAGAAAGGAAGUAAGUAAUGCAAUUCAUAAAUAUUGCUUGCUUAAGAGAUAUCAAUGCAAACAAACAAAAGUUACUUUCUCUCACUUCACAAAAGGGUAAAUGUGUCAUUUAAAAAGAAUAAGAAGAAAGAGUUAAUGCAUGUGUAAGGGGGAAUCCAAAAAAAAAGAAAAAAAAGUGAGGAUUAAAGUGAAACUGAUGAGAGUGCAUCGGAACACGUUGUACCACAUGUUUCAUUUGCUUAACAGACUAAGGGCAUAUUGAUAGGGGGAAUAAUGAAUCUUGAAACCGAUUUUUCUACAAAAGUAUGUGAUUGUUGGAUCACGUUGUUAUUUUUCAAACGACAAUUGAUGAAUUGUGGCACUAUGUAGGGAGCAUUAUGAAAAGAACAAGUUAGACUUGAGGAUGAUUAAGAUUGCAUGAACUUCCCUCAAUAAUUGGAUAGAAUAAUUGUUCUCCUAACUUUAUGAGCUAAAAUUUUAUUCAAUUCAGUCUUAAACAUUCAGUUGUGUGUCCCAAUUCCAGAUCCUUGACUUAUUU
Solanum lycopersicum (tomato) is the source of this 3962-nucleotide long non-coding RNA. RefSeq lists it as uncharacterized. The record is from RefSeq and is a predicted model, not a curated record. Lineage: Eukaryota; Viridiplantae; Streptophyta; Magnoliopsida; Solanales; Solanaceae.